Alnus glutinosa is the source of this 784-nucleotide long non-coding RNA. RefSeq lists it as uncharacterized. The record is from RefSeq and is a predicted model, not a curated record. Lineage: Eukaryota; Viridiplantae; Streptophyta; Magnoliopsida; Fagales; Betulaceae. The transcript has 2 exons.
AUUUCCCUCUCUCUCACGCAUUUCCUUUUCUUCUUUUCUUUCUUUUUCCUUCCCCACCUGACGCCCAUCUUCUUCCUCUCUCCCGAUUCCGCAGCUCACCCGUCCUCUCUCCAUUUCUUUUUUUCUCUUCUCCCUCCCCACACACACACACAUCCAGCCGAGAGUUUGAGAGAGAUGAUACCGUGAGAGAUAGACCGUGAUGGAGACGAAGAGUUGAAGGUUAGGGUCAGGAGAAACCCGAGACUUAAGGGAGACCCAACGACCCAUCGAACCUGAGAGAGAGCUGAAGGAGAUUCGAACUGAUUGGAGGCAUGAUCUCCGGCGAAAUGAAGCGAUUUUUACUGAAAUCAGUGGGGAUCUCCAGUGGUUUCUUGAGAAGCCUUUAAAGACUCUAAACCGCUGUUAACCGUGAGCGGAGCACGUUGGCUUUUGUCACACAGACCUAUGGACUCAGCCUGUCGUCACAGGGGAGAGCCGGUUCCGAGUUGGGGAUCUUCCCUAGGUGAAGGCCAACCUCGGCUGGUAGCACACACCAACACAUGGUAUGCUUGCCAUGCUACCCUAUGGGUACCAAUUCUAGCUGUAAUAGUGCCUCAGGGUUAAACGGUUACUGCACAUGAACGUUUUCUGUAAUACUGUGGGCUCUGCUUUAACUGUAUACUUUAUUUCAAAACUGUAAGAGCCGUUUUCAUAACUGUAGUCAUGUGCAGAUUUAACUUUAGAAUAUCUUUUCUUUCAAAAUUGUAUUCUUGAAUAGAAUCAUAUACUUUGAAAUUUUCUGUAA